ACGGAGGGGGCUAGCGUUGUUCGGAAUUACUGGGCGUAAAGCGCACGUAGGCGGCUUUGUAAGUUAGAGGUGAAAGCCCGGAGCUCAACUCCGGAAUUGCCUUUAAGACUGCAUCGCAUGAAUCAUGGAGAGGUGAGUGGAAUUCCGAGUGUAGAGGUGAAAUUCGUAGAUAUCGGAAGGAACACCAGUGGCGAAAGCGGCUUCCUGGUCCAGCACCGACGUUCAGGCACGAAAGCGUGGGGAGCAAACAGGA
Molecule: ribosomal RNA, 253 nt
Filed under: uncultured prokaryote
Description: partial 16S ribosomal RNA
Rfam family: Bacterial small subunit ribosomal RNA
Source: RNAcentral